This 88-nucleotide transfer RNA is filed under the name Candidatus Bathyarchaeota archaeon. RNAcentral describes it as "tRNA-Ser". It matches the Rfam family "tRNA". From Rfam's summary of the family: Transfer RNA (tRNA) molecules are approximately 80 nucleotides in length. RNAcentral also lists the same sequence under 2 other names. Lineage: Archaea; Thermoproteati; Candidatus Bathyarchaeota. The record is from RNAcentral.
GCGGGGUUGCCCUAGUCUGGUAGGGGGCAGGCCUGCUAAGCCUGUGGUCCUUUGGGCCGCGCGGGUUCAAAUCCCGCACCCCGCGCCA